This 298-nucleotide ribosomal RNA is filed under the name uncultured bacterium. RNAcentral describes it as "partial 16S ribosomal RNA". It matches the Rfam family "Bacterial small subunit ribosomal RNA", at positions 28 to 325 of the family's 1533-position model. The record is from RNAcentral.
GAUGAACGCUAGCGGCAGGCUUAAUACAUGCAAGUCGAGGGGCAGCACGGUUAGCAAUAACUGGUGGCGACCGGCGCACGGGUGCGUAACACGUAUACAAUCUACCUUAAACGAGGGGAUAGCCUUUCGAAAGAGAGAUUAAUACCCGUAAUAAAUUGAACGGCAUCGUUUGAUUUUGAAAGCUCCGGCGGUUUGAGAUGAGUAUGCGUCUGAUUAGCUAGUUGGUGAGGUAACGGCUCACCAAGGCGACGAUCAGUAGGGGAUCUGAGAGGACUAACCCCCACACUGGUACUGAGAC